Molecule: ribosomal RNA, 274 nt
Filed under: uncultured bacterium
Lineage: Bacteria
Description: partial 16S ribosomal RNA
Rfam family: Bacterial small subunit ribosomal RNA
Source: RNAcentral
AUACGGAGGGUGCAAGCGUUACUCGGAAUCACUGGGCGUAAAGCGCGCGCAGGCGGCUUGAUAAGUUGGAUGUGAAAGCCUACGGCUCAACCGUAGAACUGCAUCCAAAACUGUCAGGCUAGAGUGUGGGAGAGGAAGAUGGAAUUAGUUGUGUAGGGGUAAAAUCCGUAGAGAUAGCUAGGAAUACCAAAAGCGAAGGCAAUCUUCUGGAACACUACUGACGCUGAGGCGCGAAGGCGUGGGGAGCAAACAGGAUUAGAUACCCGGGUAGUCC